Molecule: ribosomal RNA, 505 nt
Filed under: uncultured bacterium
Lineage: Bacteria
Description: partial 16S ribosomal RNA
Rfam family: Bacterial small subunit ribosomal RNA
Source: RNAcentral
UGGGGAAUAUUGCACAAUGGGCGCAAGCCUGAUGCAGCAACGCCGCGUGAGGGAUGACGGCCUUCGGGUUGUAAACCUCUUUUAGCAGGGAAGAAGCGAAAAGUGACGGUACCUGCAGAAAAAGCACCGGCUAACUACGUGCCAGCAGCCGCGGUAAUACGUAGGGUGCAAGCGUUGUCCGGAAUUAUUGGGGCGUAAAAGAGCUCGUAGGCGGUCUGUCGCGUCUGCUGUGAAAUCCCGAGGCUCAACCUCGGGCCUGCAGUGGGUACGGGCAGACUAGAGUGCGGUAGGGGAGAAUGGAACUCCUGGUGUAGCGGUGGAAUGCGCAGAUAUCAGGAAGAACACCGAUGGCGAAGGCAGUUCUCUGGGCCGUAACUGACGCUGAGGAGCGAAACGCGUGGGGAGCGAACAGGAUUAGAUACCCUGGUAGUCCACGCCGUAAACGUUGGGCGCUAGAUGUGGGGACCAUUCCACGGUUUCGUGUGCGCAGCUAACGCAUUAAGCG